AAGCAGUGGUACUAAUGGCAUCUCCAGUCGAACCAAUGGCUUUAAAAGAGGACAGAUUGAUGACACCUUUCAAGCGGAGGAUCAGGAAUGAUUGCAGGCGUCGUCUUCACAUCACAUCGCUUCACUGCUGCUCAGCGUCUCUUUAGUUUCCUCACAGCUUGGAGACAGUAGAUGAUGCAAAACGAGGGAAAAUCUGAGGAGGAGAAAAACGACGACGGGUUAAUAUUUGAAAGGUCUUCCACCAGCCCACCCUCUCACCUCUAUUCGCUGCUACUGCCACCUCUGCUUGUAUCUGAUGAUGAAUGUCUCCCCUCUUGCCCAGCGUACGGACCGUAACCUCAUCAAAGGAAGGCGACUAGGAGUGGAUUAGCCUCAGCAAAGUGUUAGCGCGAUGGUGCGCUGCGUCUAAUUGGUAAACCCACUUCUUUUUUUUUCUUUUUUCCAAGAGAGCGAUUUCCCCCACAGGAGCAAUAAAAGUAUCCUAUUCUCUUUCA
Molecule: long non-coding RNA, 494 nt
Filed under: Gouania willdenowi (blunt-snouted clingfish)
Lineage: Eukaryota; Metazoa; Chordata; Actinopteri; Blenniiformes; Gobiesocidae
Description: lncRNA (ENSGWIG00000015539.1)
Source: RNAcentral